Molecule: ribosomal RNA, 261 nt
Filed under: uncultured bacterium
Lineage: Bacteria
Description: partial 16S ribosomal RNA
Rfam family: Bacterial small subunit ribosomal RNA
Source: RNAcentral
GACAGAGGGUGCAAACGUUGUUCGGAAUUACUGGGCGUAAAGCGCGUGUAGGCUGCUCUGUGUGUCGGAUGUGAAAGCCCUGGGCUCAACCUAGGAAGUGCAUUCGAAACUACAGAGCUUGAGUUCUGGAGAGGAAAGCGGAAUUCUCGGUGUAGAGGUGAAAUUCGUAGAUAUCGAGAGGAACACCGGUGGCGAAGGCGGCUUUCUGGACAGUAACUGACGCUGAGACGCGAAAGCGUGGGGAGCAAACAGGAUUAAGAA